UGCCUGCGGGUUAGAAUGUCAGAUUGUGAGAGAGAUAGUCAGACCAAAGAACAUGUAUUUCUCAAUACCACUACUUCUCGGCUCUAUACUCCCAGCUCCAAGUUAUCACUCUCUCAAUCUGAAAGACAAAUAAGUCCUGGUACAAAGCUGCCGUAGUAUCCACCUUCAUGGCCAACGACAACUUGAUGUGGACCUUGAAAUCGAAAAGAAAACGGACAUGAACACUGUAAAGAGGUGCUGCAGUUCAAGGCCGACCUGUGUAUACAUGUUCCUCCGUCUGUCUUCUUUUAUACAGACUUGGCUGUUAUCCUGGAGCCCCAAGGAACCGCUGUCUGGUCUGCUCCCUUUGAUGCCGAGGGCAGGACCAUAAUUGACGUGCCAUCUAGUUCCUGGCUCCCACAUCCUGCACUGUCGAUGCAGGGACACGUGGCCUACAGCUGUGGAUUUCAUCAUGCAAGGGACUUGGGUGAGCUGAGGGAUGUGAACCACUUGACAAUGGGGGAUGAUGAAAUAAUGGAGAUUUGAG
Oncorhynchus gorbuscha (pink salmon) is the source of this 526-nucleotide long non-coding RNA. RefSeq lists it as uncharacterized. The transcript has 3 exons. NCBI's taxonomy places the organism in Eukaryota, Metazoa, Chordata, Actinopteri, Salmoniformes, Salmonidae. The record is from RefSeq and is a predicted model, not a curated record.